UACGUAGGGAGCAAGCGUUGUCCGGAUUUAUUGGGCGUAAAGAGCUCGUAGGCGGCUUAGAAAGUCAGGUGUGAAACCUCCAGGCUCAACCUGGAGACGCCACUUGAUACUUCUAUGGCUUGAGUUCGGUAGGGGACCACGGAAUUCCUGGUGUAGCGGUGAAAUGCUUAGAUAUCAGGAGGAACACCGAUGGCGAAGGCAGUGGUCUGGGCCGAUACUGACGCUGAGGAGCGAAAGCGUGGGGAGCGAACAGG
This 254-nucleotide ribosomal RNA is filed under the name uncultured bacterium. RNAcentral describes it as "partial 16S ribosomal RNA". It matches the Rfam family "Bacterial small subunit ribosomal RNA", at positions 524 to 776 of the family's 1533-position model. The record is from RNAcentral.